RNAcentral lists this ribosomal RNA (465 nucleotides) under Lactobacillus sp. oral taxon H25. RNAcentral describes it as "bacterial SSU rRNA". It matches the Rfam family "Bacterial small subunit ribosomal RNA", at positions 28 to 467 of the family's 1533-position model. The record is from RNAcentral. Lineage: Bacteria; Bacillati; Bacillota; Bacilli; Lactobacillales; Lactobacillaceae.
GACGAACGCUGGCGGCGUGCCUAAUACAUGCAAGUCGAGCGAGCUGAACCAACAGAUUUACUUCGGUAAUGACGUUGGGAACGCGAGCGGCGGAUGGGUGAGUAACACGUGGGGAACCUGCCCCUCAGUCUGGGAUACCACUUGGAAACAGGUGCUAAUACCGGAUAAUAAAGCAGAUCGCAUGAUCAGCUUUUGAAAGGCGGCGUAAGCUGUCGCUAAGGGAUGGCCCCGCGGUGCAUUAGCUAGUUGGUAGGGUAACGGCCUACCAAGGCAAUGAUGCAUAGCCGAGUUGAGAGACUGAUCGGCCACAUUGGGACUGAGACACGGCCCAAACUCCUACGGGAGGCAGCAGUAGGGAAUCUUCCACAAUGGACGAAAGUCUGAUGGAGCAACGCCGCGUGAGUGAAGAAGGUUUUCGGAUCGUAAAGCUCUGUUGUUGGUGAAGAAGGAUAGAGGUAGUAACGG